RNAcentral lists this ribosomal RNA (465 nucleotides) under uncultured bacterium. RNAcentral's name for it is "partial 16S ribosomal RNA". It matches the Rfam family "Bacterial small subunit ribosomal RNA", at positions 28 to 507 of the family's 1533-position model. The record is from RNAcentral.
GACGAACGCUGGCGGCGUGCUUAACGCAUGCAAGUCGUACGGUAAGGCCCUUUCGGGGGUACACGAGUGGCGAACGGGUGAGUAACACGUGAGUAACCUGCCCACAACUUUGGGAUAACGCUAGGAAACUGGUGCUAAUACUGGAUAUGUGCUCCUGCUGCAUGGUGGGGGUUGGAAAGCUCCGGCGGUUGUGGAUGGACUCGCGGCCUAUCAGCUUGUUGGUGGGGUAGUGGCCUACCAAGGCGGCGACGGGUAGCCGGCCUGAGAGGGUGACCGGCCACAGUGGGACUGAGAUACGGCCCAGACUCCUACGGGAGGCAGCAGUGGGGAAUAUUGCACAAUGGGCGCAAGCCUGAUGCAGCAACGCCGCGUGCGGGAUGACGGCCUUCGGGUUGUAAACCGCUUUCAGCAGGGACGAAGCUUUUUGUGACGGUACCUGCAGAAGAAGCACCGGCUAACUACGUG